RNAcentral lists this non-coding RNA (30 nucleotides) under Mus musculus (house mouse). Lineage: Eukaryota; Metazoa; Chordata; Mammalia; Rodentia; Muridae. The record is from RNAcentral.
UAAAAAUACUUUAAAUCUAACAUUCCUAUC